UAAGCCAUGCGAGUCGAGAGGGUUCGGCCCUCGGCGUACUGCUCAGUAACACGUGGAUAACCUGCCCUAGGGAAGGGGAUAAUCCCGGGAAACUGGGGAUAAUACCCUAUAGGUUACAGAUGCUGGAAUGCUCUGUAAUCAAAAGUUCCGGCGCCCUAGGAUGGAUCUGCGGCCGAUUAGGUUGUUGUUGGGGUAAUGGCCCAACAAGCCAGUAAUCGGUACGGGUUGUGGGAGCAAGAGCCCGGAGUUGGAUUCUGAGACACGAAUCCAGGCCCUACGGGGCGCAGCAGGCGCGAAAACUUUACAAUGCGGGCAACCGUGAUAAGGGAACCUCGAGUGCCUGUAAAUGCAGGCUGUUCAGAUGUCUAAAACACAUCUGGAGAAAGGGCCGGGCAAGACCGGUGCCAGCCGCCGCGGUAAUACCGGCGGCUCGAGUGGUGGCCACUAUUAUUGGGCUUAAAGCGUCCGUAGCUGGACCGAUAAGUCUCUUGGGAAAUCCGCCGGCUCAACCGGCGGGCGUCUAAGGGAUACUGUUAGUCUAGGGACCGGGAGAGGUGAGAGGUACUCCGGGGGUAGGAGUGAAAUCCUGUAAUCCCCGGGGGACCACCGAUGGCGAAGGCAUCUCACCAGAACGGCUCCGACAGUGAGGGACGAAAGCUGGGGGAGCGAACCGGAUUAGAUACCCGGGUAGUCCCAGCCGUAAACUAUGCGCGUUAGGUGUACUGGUGACCACGAGUCACCGGGGUGCCGAAGGGAAACCGUGAAACGUGCCGCCUGGGAAGUACGGUCGCAAGGCUGAAACUUAAAGGAAUUGGCGGGGGAGCACCACAACGGGUGGAGCCUGCGGUUUAAUUGGACUCAACGCCGGAAAUCUCACCGGAUAGGACAGACAUAUGAUAGUCGGGCUGAAGACUCUACUUGAUGAUCUGAGAGGAGGUGCAUGGCCGUCGUCAGUUCGUACUGUGAAGCAUCCUGUUAAGUCAGGCAACGAGCGAGACCCA
Molecule: ribosomal RNA, 1001 nt
Filed under: uncultured archaeon
Lineage: Archaea
Description: bacterial SSU rRNA
Rfam family: Archaeal small subunit ribosomal RNA
Source: RNAcentral